Molecule: unclassified non-coding RNA, 250 nt
Filed under: Hevea brasiliensis (rubber tree)
Lineage: Eukaryota; Viridiplantae; Streptophyta; Magnoliopsida; Malpighiales; Euphorbiaceae
Source: RNAcentral
AUAGUGAUUGUUCUGUGAACUCUUCCAGGCAGGCAGAAGUAAGUGAGGUAGUAGAAGAGGGUUAUACAAUUGAUGCAGCUCAGUAUGGAAAUAUCGGGCGAUUUAUCAAUCACAGUUGCUCACCCAAUUUGUAUGCACAAAGCGUUCUUUAUGAUCAUGAAGAUAAGAAAAUGCCUCAUAUCAUGCUUUUUGCAGCAGAUAACAUUCCUCCUUUGGCGGAGCUCAGUUAUCAUUACAAUUAUUCCGUGGA